RNAcentral lists this long non-coding RNA (885 nucleotides) under Homo sapiens (human). Its description in RNAcentral is "HSALNT0364236". Lineage: Eukaryota; Metazoa; Chordata; Mammalia; Primates; Hominidae. The record is from RNAcentral.
UAGAUUCCACCUCAAAAGAAAAAAACAGUUCUGGUUGGCAUUUGUUUUGUUUUGGCUGCCCUAAGAGCCUCCACAUUUCCUUUUGGAAUUCACAGAUCUACAUUGUGUGUAAUCUUAGUGGGGCUGCCAUUCCUGGUGACUACAUUCCAUUACCAAAGCCGAAGGAAACAGAUCCUUGCCCUCCUUGACUCUGCAGGACCAGGGGCCAGAUGAAGAAACUAUGACACAGAGAGGCGAAGUAACUUGAUAAGAUCAAAACAAACUCUGAAUAUGCCAAUCCACUACCGUCUAGAAGACUAUGGGGUCUCUGAUGAGAAAUCAGCUAUUAAUCUUAGCAAGGAUCCUUGCAUGUGAUGAGUUACUUCUCUUGAUGCUUUCAACAUUCUCUCUUUACCUUUUGACAGUUUGAUUAUCGUGUGUCUUGGUGUAGUUUAUCCUACUUGGAGUUUCUUGAGCUUCUUAAAUGUGGUUAAUGUUUUUCCUCAAAUUUGAGAAGUUUCUGAGCAUUAUUUAUUUAAAUAUUGUUUUAGUCUGUUCAGGCUGCUAUAACAAAACACCAUAAACUGGGUAGCUUAUAAACAUCGGAAAUUUAUUUCUCACAGUUCUGGAGGUUGGGAAGUCCAAGAUCAAGGAACCGGCAGAUUUGGUAUCUGGUGAAGGACCAUUUUCUGGUUCAGACAGUGCCUUCUCACUGUGUUCUCACGUGGUAGUAGGGCAAGUGAUCUUCUUAUUACUCUAAGAGUGGUAAUCCCAUUCAUGAGGGCUCUACUCCCAUGACCCAGUCACCAUCCAAGUCCCUACCUCCCAAUACCUUGGGGGUUAGGAUUUCAGCAUAUAAAUUUAAAAGACCUCAUCAUAUAAAAAGACACAAACAUUCAGACCAGA